ACUCUGCUUCCACCCCUCCCUGGAGAAUGGUGGCUAGGAACACGGAGCAGAGACUCACCGCGGGCCCAUGCCCGGUUUGGCACGUGCCUCGGCCGUGAGGAGGAGGAGGGAUGCAAGCUUCGCUCCUCUACCCUGUGCUGAUCACACUGGGUCCCGCUGUUCCCACGUCUGCCUCCCUACCAGACUGAGCUCCAAGCUGCCAGGGGCCUCGUCUCCAUCUGGGUCCCAGUUCCCACCAUAGAGCUGGGCAUGGAGGACAGCUCAGGGAAGCUUCUUGGGAAAUGAAUUCUGGGAGUUCCCUCUGCCAAGGACCCACUGUGUUAAGAGCUUUAAGGUAUAGACCAAGAGAAAUGGCGGCAUCUGCACACACAAAAACUUGUACAGGAAUGUUCACAGCAGCAAUAACAGCCAAAAAGUGGGAACAAUCUUAAUGUCUACCAACUGACGAACAGGUAUAGACCAAGAGGUAUGGAGGCCAAGGCGAGCAGAUUACUUGAGGUCAGGAGUUCGAGACCAGCCUGGCCAGCGGUUCCAGUGAGGCCCAUGUGAGGCAGUCACUCAGGGCAGUAGCCCCCUCACUGGCCUCCCCACUUCCACUCACACCCACUAUGGCCCACUCCCCACACCUCACAUUCCUGCCCAGGGUCCCCCAGCGGUCCCAUCUUGCUGAGAACCUGCCGGCACUCCUCUUUGCCUGCACGGGCUCACUCAGCCACACAGGUGUCCUCGCGGCUGCUCCACCUCACAGGGCUGGCCCCUGCCUCAGGACUGCAAUACCCGGCUGUUUCUUCUGCCUGGAAUGCUCACACCCCAAACCUUG
Molecule: long non-coding RNA, 820 nt
Filed under: Homo sapiens (human)
Lineage: Eukaryota; Metazoa; Chordata; Mammalia; Primates; Hominidae
Description: HSALNT0331259
Source: RNAcentral